UAGCGUAUAUUAAAGUUGUUGCAGUUAGAACGCUCGUAGUCGGAUUUCGGGGCGAGCCUUCCGGUCUGCCGAUGGGUACGCACUGGUCGGCGCGUCCUUCCUUCCGGAGACCGUGCCUACUCUUAACUGAGCGGGGGCGGGAGACGGAACGUUUACUUUGAAAAAAUCAGAGUGUUUCAAGCAGGCAGCUUGCUCUUGCAUGGAUUAGCAUGGGAUAAUGAAAUAGGACUUUGGUGCUAUUUUGUUGGUUUCGAACACCGAAGUAAUGAUGAGAAGGGACAGUCAGGGGCACUCGUAUUCCGCCGAGAGAGGUGAAAUUCUCAGACCAGCGGAAGACGAACCACUGCGAAAGCAUUUG
This 358-nucleotide ribosomal RNA is filed under the name Haptophyta environmental samples. RNAcentral describes it as "SSU rRNA". It matches the Rfam family "Eukaryotic small subunit ribosomal RNA", at positions 595 to 957 of the family's 1831-position model. Lineage: Eukaryota; Haptophyta. The record is from RNAcentral.